UGCUCCAGUUGAUCGCAUGGUCUUCUGGGAAAGCUUUCGCGGUAUGGGAUGGGGUCGCGUCCUAUCACCUUGACGGCGGGGUAACGGCCCACCGUGGCUUCAACGGGUAGCCGGCCUGAAAGGGCAACCGGCCACAUUGGAACUGAAAUACGGCCCAAACUCCUACGGAAGGCAGCAGUGGGAAAUAUUGCACAAUGGGCGCAAGCCUGAUGCACCGACCCCCCGUGAGGAAUGGAGGCCUUCGGGUUGUAAACCUCUUUUAUCGGGAAGCAAGCAAAAGUGAGUUUACCCGUUGAAUAACCACCGGCUAACUACUUGCCACCAGCCGCGGUAAUACGUAGGGUGCAAGCGUUAUCCGGAAUUAUUGGGCGUAAAGGGCUCGUAGGCGGUUCGUCGCGUCCGGUGUGAAAGUCCAUCGCUUAACGGUGGAUCCGCGCCGGGUACGGGCGGGCUUGAGUGCGGUAGGGGAGACUGGAAUUCCCGGUGUAACGGUGGAAUGUGUAGAUAUCGGGAAGAACACCAAUGGCGAAGGCAGGUCUCUGGGCCGUUACUGACGCUGAGGAGCGAAAGCGUGGGGAGCGAACAGGAUUAGAUACCCUGGUAGUCCACGCCGUAAACGGUGGAUGCUGGAUGUGGGGCCCGUUCCACGGGUUCCGUGUCGGAGCUAACGCGUUAAGCAUCCCGCCUGGGGAGUACGGCCGCAAGGCUAAAACUCAAAGAAAUUGACGGGGGCCCGCACAAGCGGCGGAGCAUGCGGAUUAAUUCGAUGCAACGCGAAGAACCUUACCUGGGCUUGACAUGUUCCCGACGGUCGUAGAGAUACGGCUUCCCUUCGGGGCGGGUUCACAGGUGGUGCAUGGUCGUCGUCAGCUCGUGUCGUGAGAUGUUGGGUUAAGUCCCGCAACGAGCGCAACCCUCGCCCUGUGUUGCCAGCACGUCGUGGUGGGAACUCACGGGGGACCGCCGGGGUCAACUCGGAGGAAGGUGGGGAUGACGUCAGAUCAUCAUGCCCCUUACGUCCAGGGCUUCACGCAUGCUACAAUGGCCGGUACAACGGGAUGCGACCUCGUGAGGGGGAGCGGAUCCCUUAAAACCGGUCUCAGUUCGGAUUGGAGUCUGCAACCCGACUCCAUGAAGGCGGAGUCGCUAGUAAUCGCGGAUCAGCAACGC
This 1170-nucleotide ribosomal RNA is filed under the name uncultured Bifidobacterium sp. RNAcentral describes it as "bacterial SSU rRNA". It matches the Rfam family "Bacterial small subunit ribosomal RNA", at positions 173 to 1357 of the family's 1533-position model. The record is from RNAcentral. Lineage: Bacteria; Bacillati; Actinomycetota; Actinomycetes; Bifidobacteriales; Bifidobacteriaceae.